UACGAAGGGGGCUAGCGUUGCUCGGAAUCACUGGGCGUAAAGGGUGCGUAGGCGGGUCUUUAAGUCAGGGGUGAAAUCCUGGAGCUCAACUCCAGAACUGCCUUUGAUACUGAGGAUCUUGAGUUCGGGAGAGGUGAGUGGAACUGCGAGUGUAGAGGUGAAAUUCGUAGAUAUUCGGCGGAACACCAGUGGCGAAGGCGACUCACUGGCCCGAUACUGACGCUGAUGCGCGAAAGCGUGGGGAGCAAACAGG
RNAcentral lists this ribosomal RNA (253 nucleotides) under uncultured bacterium. RNAcentral describes it as "partial 16S ribosomal RNA". It matches the Rfam family "Bacterial small subunit ribosomal RNA", at positions 524 to 776 of the family's 1533-position model. The record is from RNAcentral.